This is a non-coding RNA of Stegodyphus mimosarum, 73 nucleotides long. The record is from Rfam. Lineage: Eukaryota; Metazoa; Arthropoda; Arachnida; Araneae; Eresidae.
GCUUUCGUAGUGUAGUGGUCAGCACGCUCGGCGCGUAUUCGAGAAGUCCGUGGUUCGAAUUCCGGCGAGGAUA